UAGAUUGUUACCAAGUUAAAACUAGUGGGAAGAGUCCGAAUGAGGUUGCUAGAAUAAAAAAUGCCAUGGGGCUUGGUAACAACCUUCAGAUCCGCCUUCUUUUCAACCUUUUUCGAGGCUAGGGGCGUGGGUCAGAGACUGGUUACUUUCAAGUCUGGCCAAGGUUGUGGCUAACACCAUUUGGAAAAAGCUGCAAUAUUGAAAAACACAAAAAAGUAAAAAAUAAGAAAAGAAAAGAAGAUGAAAAGCAAAAGG
Molecule: long non-coding RNA, 255 nt
Filed under: Linum usitatissimum (flax)
Lineage: Eukaryota; Viridiplantae; Streptophyta; Magnoliopsida; Malpighiales; Linaceae
Description: long non-coding RNA (LUSI_LNC004546)
Source: RNAcentral